CGGACGGGUCGGAGGUAACGACCGUGAGCGAACCUACGCCUUGGAGUAGGGGAAGGUAACUAGAAUGGAAACAUACUGCUAAUAACCGCAUGAUGUCAUUGGGCCACAUGGCUCUGACUGCCAAAGAUUUAUCGCUCUGAGAUGGGCUCGCGUCUGAUUAGCUAGUUGCGGGGCAACGGCCCACCAAGGCGACGAUCAGUAGCCGGACUGAGAGGUUGGCCGGCCACAUUGGGACUGAGACACGGCCCAGACUCCUACGGGAGGCAGCAGUGGGGAAUAUUGGGCAAUGGGCACAAGCCCGACCCAGCAACGCCGCGUGAAGGAAGAAGGCUUUCGGGUUGUAAACUUCUUUUCUCAGGGACGAACAGAUGACGGUACCUGAGGAAUAAGCCACGGCUAACUACGUG
This 407-nucleotide ribosomal RNA is filed under the name uncultured Oscillibacter sp. Its description in RNAcentral is "bacterial SSU rRNA". It matches the Rfam family "Bacterial small subunit ribosomal RNA", at positions 99 to 507 of the family's 1533-position model. Lineage: Bacteria; Bacillati; Bacillota; Clostridia; Eubacteriales; Oscillospiraceae. The record is from RNAcentral.